This 103-nucleotide non-coding RNA is filed under the name Planococcus rifietoensis. RNAcentral describes it as "SAM-I sequence". It matches the Rfam family "SAM riboswitch aptamer (S box leader)". From Rfam's summary of the family: The SAM riboswitch is found upstream of a number of genes which code for proteins involved in methionine or cysteine biosynthesis in Gram-positive bacteria. The SAM riboswitch acts at the level of transcription termination control. Lineage: Bacteria; Bacillati; Bacillota; Bacilli; Caryophanales; Caryophanaceae. The record is from Rfam by way of RNAcentral.
AUCUUAUCGAGAUUGACUGAGGGACUGGCCCUGAGACGUCAAAGCAGCAGACCGCAAUGCGGCACUGUGCUAAUUCCUUGUACCGCGCGUACAGAGAUAAGAG